GAAUUCGCCCUUAGAGUUUGAUCCUGGCUCAGGAUGAACGCUAGCGGCAGGCUUAACACAUGCAAGUCGAGGGGCAGCAUAAUGGAUAGCAAUAUCUAUGGUGGCGACCGGCGCACGGGUGCGUAACGCGUAUGCAACCUACCUUUAACAGGGGGAUAACACUGAGAAAUUGGUACUAAUACCUCAUAAUAUCAUAGAAGGCAUCUUUUAUGGUUGAAAAUUCCGAUGGUUAGAGAUGGGCAUGCGUUGUAUUAGCUAGUUGGUGGGGUAACGGCUCACCAAGGCGACGAUACAUAGGGGGACUGAGAGGUUAACCCCCCACACUGGUACUGAGACACGGACCAGACUCCUACGGGAGGCAGCAGUGGGGAAUAUUGCGCAAUGGGGGAAACCCUGAUGCAGCGACGCCGCGUGAGCGAAGAAGUAUUUCGGUAUGUAAAGCUCUAUCAGCAGGGAAGAAGAAAUGACGGUACCUGACUAAGAAGCACCGGCUAAAUACGUGCCAGCAGCCGCGGUAAAACGUAGGGUGCAAGCGUUGUCCGGAAUUACUGGGUGUAAAGGGAGCGCAGGCGGACCGGCAAGUUGGAAGUGAAAACUAUGGGCUCAACCCAUAAAUUGCUUUCAAAACUGCUGGCCUUGAGUAGUGCAGAGGUAGGUGGAAUUCCCGGUGUAGCGGUGGAAUGCGUAGAUAUCGGGAGGAACACCAGUGGCGAAGGCGACCUACUGGGCACCAACUGACGCUGAGGCUCGAAAGCAUGGGUAGCAAACAGGAUUAGAUACCCUGGUAGUCCAUGCCGUAAACGAUGAUUACUAGGUGUUGGAGGAUUGACCCCUUCAGUGCCGCAGUUAACACAAUAAGUAAUCCACCUGGGGAGUACGACCGCAAGGUUGAAACUCAAAGGAAUUGACGGGGGCCCGCACAAGCAGUGGAGUAUGUGGUUUAAUUCGAAGCAACGCGAAGAACCUUACCAGGUCUUGACAUCCGAUGCAUAGCGCAGAGAUGCGUGAAGUCCUUCGGGACAUCGAGACAGGUGGUGCAUGGUUGUCGUCAGCUCGUGUCGUGAGAUGUUGGGUUAAGUCCCGCAACGAGCGCAACCCUUAUUGCCAGUUACUACGAAAGAGGACUCUGGCGAGACUGCCGUUGACAAAACGGAGGAAGGUGGGGAUGACGUCAAAUCAUCAUGCCCUUUAUGACCUGGGCUACACACGUACUACAAUGGCGUUUAACAAAGAGAAGCAAGACCGCGAGGUGGAGCAAAACUCAAAAACAACGUCUCAGUUCAGAUUGCAGGCUGCAACUCGCCUGCAUGAAGUCGGAAUUGCUAGUAAUCGCGGAUCAGCAUGCCGCGGUGAAUACGUUCCCGGGCCUUGCACACACCGCCCGUCA
RNAcentral lists this ribosomal RNA (1387 nucleotides) under uncultured bacterium. Its description in RNAcentral is "bacterial SSU rRNA". It matches the Rfam family "Bacterial small subunit ribosomal RNA". The record is from RNAcentral.